RNAcentral lists this ribosomal RNA (507 nucleotides) under uncultured Alphaproteobacteria bacterium. Its description in RNAcentral is "bacterial SSU rRNA". It matches the Rfam family "Bacterial small subunit ribosomal RNA", at positions 993 to 1503 of the family's 1533-position model. Lineage: Bacteria; Pseudomonadati; Pseudomonadota; Alphaproteobacteria. The record is from RNAcentral.
GAAACAGGGANGGUUUCCUUCAGUUCGGCUGGACCGGAGACAGGGUGCUGCAUGGCUGUCGUCAGCUCGUGUCGUGAGAUGUUGGGUUAAGUCCCGCAACGAGCGCAACCCUCGCCCUUAGUUGCCAUCAUUCAGUUGGGCACUUUAAGGGGACUGCCGGUGAUAAGCCGGAGGAAGGUGGGGAUGACGUCAAGUCCUCAUGGCCCUUACGGGCUGGGCUACACACGUGCUACAAUGGCGGUGACAGAGGGAUGCAAAGGGGCGACCCUUCGCAAAUCUCAAAAAGCCGUCUCAGUUCGGAUUGGGGUCUGCAACUCGACCCCAUGAAGUUGGAAUCGCUAGUAAUCGCAGAUCAGCACGCUGCGGUGAAUACGUUCCCGGGCCUUGUACACACCGCCCGUCACACCAUGGGAGUUGGCUUUACCUGAAGACGGUGCGCUAACCGCAAGGAGGCAGCCGGCCACGGUAGGGUCAGCGACUGGGGUGAAGUCGUAACAAGGUAACCGU